Molecule: long non-coding RNA, 1254 nt
Filed under: Cricetulus griseus (Chinese hamster)
Lineage: Eukaryota; Metazoa; Chordata; Mammalia; Rodentia; Cricetidae
Description: lncRNA (ENSCGRG00015035284.1)
Source: RNAcentral
GCCCUUUCCCUCUCUCCCUCCAAAACACAAGGUCUCAGCCAGGUGGUGGUGGUGCAAGUCUUUAAUCCCAGCACUCUGGAGGCAGAGGCAGGCAGAUUUCUGUGAGUUCAAGGCCAGCCUGAUCUACAGAGCAAGUGCCAGGACAGGCUCCAAAGCUACACAGAGAAACUAUGUCUUGAAAAACAAUACAAAACAAACAAACAAACAAAACACAUGUCUCUCCGUGUAGGCCACACUGUCCUGGAAUUCCCUACCUACUCCUGGAUGGCCUUGAACCUACAGCCCUCCUGUCUCUGCUUGCGUUACUAGCCUGCAUACACCCCUGCUCCUUCAAAGAGAGUUUUCUUCGGUGUUUCAAAGAAGCUGAGGAAUCGCCAGAAACUUUUACAGCCUAACAACUUUUGCACCUUAUUUUUCAAAAUAAAAGCUUAGAGCUGGAGUGAGGCUCAACAGUUAAGAGCACCGGCUGCUCUUGCAUGGACCUUCAGUUCUCAGCACCCACACAACAGCUCACAGCCAUCUCUAACUCCAGUUCCAAGGGCUUAUGCCAAUUCUGGCCUCCUCAGGUACGGCACACACAUGGUACACACAUACUUGUAUACAUAAAAUCAAAUAAAUAAAUAUAUUUUAAUUAAAAAAUAAAAGUUUAAAUAUGGACGGGGAAGGGUGGGCAGGAAGGAGGAUAGUUUUCUUCCCCUUCAAUGUGCAAGAAGCAAGUUCACCUGAGGGCAGGAAGGGAUCAUUUCCCUAAAGAGCCAACUUCUUGCCUCAAAUGGAUCCCUCUGUUCUGCCCCUGAACUUGAAGAGCAUUCACGGAGUUGGGGGCUGACUCCUGUGGUACUGUGCGUGCGUGUGCGUGCGUGCGUGCGUGCGUGCGUGCGUGCGUGCGUGCGUGCGUGCGUGCGUGCGUGUGUUGUGUGUGCUCUUGAGACAGGGUCUUUCACAGGCCUGAAAGAGUAGAAUGUCUGGCUAGCAAGCUAGCUGCAGGGAUCUGCCUCUGUCUCUGCCUCCCUGCUGCUGAGAUUCCAAGUGUAUGCCAUCAUGUCUGGGAAUCAAAGGAGUCCUCAGGUUGUGCAUCAGACACUUUGGGGACUGAGCCAUCUCCCCAGCCCUCCUGAGACUUUUGAGGAAAUAUUCUGGAUGGUACUGACACUCCCCAGACUAUGAGGCUUUUUGAUUUUGAGUAACAACACCUCCACCCUGCUCUCCCCAGGGUUACCAUCCCAUUACAACCUGCUUCCUAUUGUCUGGAGU